GACGAACGCUGGCGGCGUGCUUAACACAUGCAAGUCGAGCGGUAAGGCCCUUCGGGGUACACGAGCGGCGAACGGGUGAGUAACACGUGGGUAACCUGCCCUGUACUCUGGGAUAAGCCUGGGAAACUAGGUCUAAUACCGGAUAUGACACUUCAUCGCAUGGUGUGGUGUGGAAAGUUCCGGCGGUACAGGAUGGACCCGCGGCCUAUCAGCUUGUUGGUGGGGUAAUGGCCUACCAAGGCGACGACGGGUAGCCGGCCUGAGAGGGCGACCGGCCACACUGGGACUGAGACACGGCCCAGACUCCUACGGGAGGCAGCAGUGGGGAAUAUUGCACAAUGGGCGAAAGCCUGAUGCAGCGACGCCGCGUGAGGGAUGACGGCCUUCGGGUUGUAAACCUCUUUCAGUAGGGACGAAGCGCAAGUGACGGUACCUACAGAAGAAGCACCGGCUAACUACGUGCCAGCAGCCGCGGUAAUACGUAGGGUGCGAGCGUUGUCCGGAAUUAUUGGGCGUAAAGAGCUCGUAGGCGGUUUGUUGCGUCGGCUGUGAAAACCUACAGCUUAACUGUGGGCCUGCAGUCGAUACGGGCAGACUUGAGUUCGGCAGGGGAGACUGGAAUUCC
This 625-nucleotide ribosomal RNA is filed under the name uncultured soil bacterium. Its description in RNAcentral is "bacterial SSU rRNA". It matches the Rfam family "Bacterial small subunit ribosomal RNA", at positions 28 to 670 of the family's 1533-position model. The record is from RNAcentral.